UCCAUAUAUUUAUUAAGGUAUAAUAAAGCUAACCCUUUUAAACGAACUAUAAUAUUUUGAACAAUAAUUAGACUCAAGAGGUUAAGAGAACUAAACGUGCUAAGACUAUAGUAGUUCUAGGAUGAGUGACCUUCUGAGAGUGGAGUGUCACAAUUGGUAUCAGAACCAAUCAUCGGUCAGAAAUGAGAUAAGUCUCGACUGAAUCAGGAUUAUACAAAGGGACACUUUUAGGAUUUACAAUAAUUCUAUAUAUAAGUUUGACAAGACGAUAGCAUUUUUGGAGAUCGAGUUUUUGAGAUUAAUGGUUAGUGCCAACAAUCCGACAAGUGGUUUCAGAGUCAGAGGCCACGGGUUUGAUUCCCGCGCAUGCUACAAAUGUGUGCAAAUACUGGAGGAGGAUUGUUGGUUUAAAUGGGCCAACAUUCUGCCUUAUAGCGGGAGGCUAUGUUGGGUUGAGUCAUGUUCAAAAUGGCGUAAGGCAAGGUGGGCCGAGUCAUGUUCAAACUUCAAAAUGGCAUGAGGCUGGGUGGGCCGAGUCACAAUCAAGACUCGUGGGCGUUGUAUCGGUGCGUUUUAAGUGAAUUAAUUGCGUGUUUCUAACAGCUCGAGUUUUUGAAAUUAAUUAAUAAUUAGCACCAAAAAAUAUUUACAUUUAAGAGGUUAAAAGAGUUAAAUGUGCUAUAACUAAAUUAGUUCUAGAAUGGAU
RNAcentral lists this long non-coding RNA (706 nucleotides) under Ananas comosus (pineapple). Its description in RNAcentral is "long non-coding RNA (ACOM_LNC044667)". Lineage: Eukaryota; Viridiplantae; Streptophyta; Magnoliopsida; Poales; Bromeliaceae. The record is from RNAcentral.